UACAUGGGGUGCAAACGUUGCUCGGAAUCAUUGGGCGUAAAGCGCGCGUAGGCGGUUAUUUAAGUUGGAUGUGAAAGCCCUCGGCUUAACUGAGGAAGUGCAUCCAAAACUGAAUAGCUAGAGUACGAAAGAGGGUCGCGGAAUUCCCGGUGUAGAGGUGAAAUUCGUAGAUAUCGGGAGGAACACCAGUGGCGAAGGCGGCGACCUGGACAGAUAUUGACGCUGAGGUGCGAAAGCGUGGGGAGCAAACAGG
RNAcentral lists this ribosomal RNA (253 nucleotides) under uncultured bacterium. Its description in RNAcentral is "partial 16S ribosomal RNA". It matches the Rfam family "Bacterial small subunit ribosomal RNA", at positions 524 to 776 of the family's 1533-position model. The record is from RNAcentral.